Molecule: ribosomal RNA, 460 nt
Filed under: uncultured bacterium
Lineage: Bacteria
Description: partial 16S ribosomal RNA
Rfam family: Bacterial small subunit ribosomal RNA
Source: RNAcentral
CCUACGGGAGACAGCAGUGAGGAAUAUUGGUCAAUGGGCGGGAGCCUGAACCAGCCAAGUCGCGUGAGGGAAGACGGUCCUAUGGAUUGUAAACCUCUUUAGGCGGGGAGCAAUGCCGGGCACGCGUGCCCGGAGGGAGAGUACCCGCAGAAUAAGCAUCGGCUAAAUCCGUGCCAGCAGCCGCGGUAAUACGGAGGAUGCGAGCGGUAUCCGGAUUUAUUGGGUUAAAAGGGUGCGUAGGCGGAUUUUUAAGUCAGCGGUAAAAUGUCCGGGCUCAACCCGGGCCGGCCGUUGAAACUGGGGAUCUUGAGUGGGCGAGAAGUAUGCGGAAUGCGUGGUGUAGCGGUGAAAUGCAUAGAUAUCACGCAGAACUCCGAUUGCGAAGGCAGCAUACCGGCGCUCAACUGACGCUCAUGCACGAAAGCGUGGGUAUCGAACAGGAUUAGAUACCCGGGUAGUC